Non-coding RNA from Oryza sativa Japonica Group (Japanese rice), 1715 nucleotides. The record is from RefSeq and is a predicted model, not a curated record. Lineage: Eukaryota; Viridiplantae; Streptophyta; Magnoliopsida; Poales; Poaceae.
CCUUAUCGUUUCUCUUAUCCACAUCUUCCGCCUCUUAUUUCUCCUCCUUCGCCCCUCCUCUCCCCUUACCUAUCGAACGGCGCGGCAGCUGACGGAGGAGUGGUGGCGGUCGAUGGAGGAGCGGCAGCAGGCCCGGGUGGCGGCUGACGCGGAGGCCGGCGCAGGCGUGGCGAGGUGGUUGCGGCGGCCGACGGAGGACGCGGAGGCAGGCCCGGGUGGUGGCGGCCGGCGCACGCGUGGAGAGGUGGCAAGGCAGCGAGGCGGUGGCCGGCGGCAACCGCCGGAUCCCGCGACGGCGGUGGCAACGGCGGCGGUGGAGGCUGGCACGAGCGAUGUGGCGUUCGGUGAGGUGGUGACUUCUUGAGUUCUCCAUUGCUUUCUCCUCCUCCAUGUCCAUCUUGUUUAGUAGUUUGCUGUUGAUUUUUGGAUGGGGAUGAUGUGAUAUUGGAUGGGAUGGUGGUGGUUGAGAAGGUAGUGAAGUGGCCGCACACAUGGCCUACAGCGGCGGUGGCGGAAGGCGAGACGCAUGGCGGGCGGCAGGGUGGCGGAGACUGGUGGCGUUUCUUUCUCUUUUUUUUUUCCAUAUGCCUCAUAGGUGCCGGCUCUACAACCCGCACCAAUAAUUUCGAGAAUAGGUACCGACCAAUCUGUGCCGGUUGGGAAACUGGCACCUAUAGCCCAUUCCCAACCUAUGAGAUUUUCUGUAGUAGUGACAUGCAUCUUUUCCAUCAUUAUUUUUUCUCAAAUCAACAUUAAAAAAGACUACUAAAAAGAGAGAUAGGAGGUGAGCUGGAUCCAUGUAUUACGUAAUUUCUUUAAGACAUGAGAAUUAUGUUCCCUUCUUUCCCACGGCAUGGAAACCAAUCUCAUGUUCGGCUAAGCUUUCCUCUUUGUAACCAUGCCCUCGAUCCUAUAUAAGGUGGACAGGGAGCCCUCAAAGAGCAUAUUCACAACGUACUCGAUUGUCAAAUCAAUACACACUCGACGGAUACAAUCCCCAAUCAGGAGUAGAGUAUUACUUCUUGUCGACAAGAUUCGCCACUGCUUCCGUCAUCCCAUAUUAGACUUGACGAAGCUAGGCUUUGGGCAGUAGGCGAGCAGAAGGUGAGCGAAGUGUUGGUGGCUCAGCGUGUGGCCGGGAGGGAGGUCGCGGCGCGGAGCAAGAUGCAGUGUGCGGUCGCCGGCAUGGAGCUAUGCUAGGUGCCACGGUCCCAAAGGCCGAAGGAACCCUGCCAGGUGUGGGCACAGGGCGGAGGGAGCUCAGCCGGUGCGGGCAUGGAUGGAGCUCAGUGCGCACGAGCUCAGAGGAAAAUUGGCUGGUGCGGGCGUGAGCGCAUUCGGAGCUCGUCCGAUCGCAGGAACAGAGGAAGGAAGGGGUGGGGUUGGACAGAGGGAGGCCUAUGUGCGACUUGGCUCUCUAGUGAAGGGCGGCCCGCAGCUGGGGUGCAAAGGGAGGCCGACUGGCUGCAGAGAUCUCCACCCAUUGCUGUUUGUAGCUGCCCACUGCUCUGUCUUGUCGACCCCCAUCUCCUUGCUAUUUGACUAUGGUUAUAAUAUAUGAUGGAGAGGUAAUUUCAUAUCUUCUCUUCUAAUGUAAUGUAUGGUGUAAUAUAGGACCGAUUUAGCCAACCCUUUUGUUAUUAGGGGUACUUUGGUACAAUUUAAUUUGUAUAUCUAAUCAAAGCAAUGUGACAAUCGAUGUUAGAGUGAGGGCA